GACGAACGCUGGCGGCGUGCCUAAUACAUGCAAGUCGAACGCAGUGGGGACGGGUGAGUAACACGUGGGUAACCUGCCAGCAGAGUGGAUAACACUUGGAAACUGGUGCUAAACCGCUACUGAUGGAUGGACCCGCGGUGCAUUAGCUAGUUGUUGGGGUAACGGCUCACCAAGGCCACGAUGCAUAGCCGACCUGAGAGGGUGAUCGGCCACACUGGGACUGAGACACGGCCCAGACUCCUACGGGAGGCAGCAGUAGGGAAUCUUGGGCAAUGGACGAAAGUCUGACCGAGCCACGCCGCGUGAGUGAAGAAGGUUUUCGGAUCGUAAAACUCUGUUGUUAGAGAAGCGGUAUCUAAACAAGAAGCCCCGGCUAACUACGUGCCAGCAGCCGCGGUAAUUC
This 403-nucleotide ribosomal RNA is filed under the name uncultured bacterium. Its description in RNAcentral is "partial 16S ribosomal RNA". It matches the Rfam family "Bacterial small subunit ribosomal RNA", at positions 28 to 526 of the family's 1533-position model. The record is from RNAcentral.